RNAcentral lists this small RNA (90 nucleotides) under Sinorhizobium meliloti 2011. RNAcentral's name for it is "putative ncRNA". The record is from RNAcentral. Lineage: Bacteria; Pseudomonadati; Pseudomonadota; Alphaproteobacteria; Hyphomicrobiales; Rhizobiaceae.
AAACGGCCCAUGUCCUCCUCGAGGACAUCGUGAAGCUCGAGAUCGAUAUAGUAGUAGAAGAGGACGUCGUGUUCGGCCUCGUUGGUGACG